Long non-coding RNA from Oreochromis niloticus (Nile tilapia), 293 nucleotides. RefSeq lists it as uncharacterized. Lineage: Eukaryota; Metazoa; Chordata; Actinopteri; Cichliformes; Cichlidae. The record is from RefSeq and is a predicted model, not a curated record. The transcript has 2 exons.
UGGAAACUGUCUGGUCUUCGUCAUCAGUAAAGAGAGACGCACAGACGAUCAGACCUCAGACCAAACUAGCAGCUUCCUCUGAGUGAGUCCAGCUACAGGAGAGAAAAGUGGAAAACUCCAACACUGCUGCUUCAAGCUGCUGACGCUCCACACACUGAAUCUUCACUCACAGACUCAAUGGCUUCCAGAUCAGAGGAGGAUCUCUGCUGUCCGGUCUGUCGGGAGGUUUUCAGAGAUCCUGUUCUUCUGUCAUGUAGCCACAGCUUCUGUAAAGACUGUCUGAAGAGAUGGUG